CACCUUGACGAUGAUGAUCUCGUCUCCUACAUCCUUGCUUUUAUGGAUGUUGAUUUUAAUCCGGUGGUGACAUCAGUUGCAAACCGGACUGAAGCUAUCACUGUGGGUGAACACUUUGCUCGACUUGUUAGCUUUGAGA
Molecule: non-coding RNA, 139 nt
Organism: Oryza meridionalis
Lineage: Eukaryota; Viridiplantae; Streptophyta; Magnoliopsida; Poales; Poaceae
Source: Rfam